GCAUCUUUAGUAUACCCAAUACAUUUGGCUUCCAACUAAAAACCCUCGCAAGAGAAGGUGUA
Molecule: transfer RNA, 62 nt
Filed under: Arctotanais alascensis
Lineage: Eukaryota; Metazoa; Arthropoda; Malacostraca; Tanaidacea; Tanaididae
Description: tRNA-Gly
Source: RNAcentral